RNAcentral lists this transfer RNA (73 nucleotides) under Magnetospirillum aberrantis SpK. It matches the Rfam family "tRNA". From Rfam's summary of the family: Transfer RNA (tRNA) molecules are approximately 80 nucleotides in length. Lineage: Bacteria; Pseudomonadati; Pseudomonadota; Alphaproteobacteria; Rhodospirillales; Rhodospirillaceae. The record is from Rfam by way of RNAcentral. RNAcentral also lists the same sequence under 2 other names.
GGGCGCAUAGCUCAGUUGGUAGAGCAGCUGACUCUUAAUCAGCGGGCCCAAGGUUCGAGUCCUUGUGCGCCCA